This 280-nucleotide ribosomal RNA is filed under the name uncultured bacterium. Its description in RNAcentral is "partial 16S ribosomal RNA". It matches the Rfam family "Bacterial small subunit ribosomal RNA", at positions 335 to 611 of the family's 1533-position model. The record is from RNAcentral.
GUACCUACGGGAGGCAGCAGUGAGGAAUAUUGGUCAAUGUGCGAGAGCCUGAACCAGCCAAGUCGCGUGAAGGAUGACGGCCCUAUGGGUUGUAAACUUCUUUUGUCAGGGAGCAAUUGAGUCCACGUGUGGGCUUAGCGAGAGUACCUGAAGAAAAAGCAUCGGCUAACUCCGUGCCAGCAGCCGCGGUAAUACGGAGGAUGCGAGCGUUAUCCGGAUUUAUUGGUUUUAAAGGGUGCGUAGGCGGAAUAUCAAGUCAGCUAUAAAAAUUCGGGGCUCA